CGAUGCAACGACGAAGAACCUUUACCUGGUCUUGACAUCCCGGAGACCCUUAGGAAACUAGGGGUGCUUCCAUCUGGAAGAAUCUGGUAGACAGGUGCUGCAUGGCUGUCGUCAGCUCGUGUCGUGAGAUGUUGGGUUAAGUCCCACAACGAGCGCAACCCUUGCCUUUAGUUGCCAGCAGUUCGGCUGGGCACUCUAAAGGGACUGCCGGUGUUAAACCGGAGGAAGGUGGGGAUGGCGUCAAGUCCUCAUGGCCUUUAUGACCAGGGCUGCACACGUACUACAAUGGCCGAUACAAAGGGCAGCGACACUGCGAGGUGAAGCCAAUCCCGUAAAAUCGGUCUCAGUCCGGAUUGGAGUCUGCAACUCGACUCCAUGAAGUUGGAAUCGCUAGUAAUCGUGGAUCAGCAUGCCACGGUGAAUACGUUCCCGGGCCUU
Molecule: ribosomal RNA, 438 nt
Filed under: uncultured Desulfobulbus sp.
Lineage: Bacteria; Pseudomonadati; Thermodesulfobacteriota; Desulfobulbia; Desulfobulbales; Desulfobulbaceae
Description: bacterial SSU rRNA
Rfam family: Bacterial small subunit ribosomal RNA
Source: RNAcentral